RNAcentral lists this long non-coding RNA (585 nucleotides) under Pogona vitticeps (central bearded dragon). RNAcentral's name for it is "lncRNA (ENSPVIG00000019209.1)". The record is from RNAcentral. Lineage: Eukaryota; Metazoa; Chordata; Lepidosauria; Squamata; Agamidae.
CGCCCGUGCGCCCGGCGCCGCUCCGCCUCUGCCAGCCAUGAGCGCAUCGAGGCAUGAUCUUGACGCGCAACUCCUUGGCAGGGGCGAGCGACCGUCUGGACUGGAGCGCGUCGGCGGGGGUGGGGGGGGAGGAGGAGAAGGAGCCGUGUGCACGAAAGGGGCGUGGCCUAGGGCGGGGCGGGGCAAUCCAUUCCACGCCCACCCCCCGUCCUCAAUAAAUAGGCGCCCGCAAAGACGCAGCUCAACUGCUAUCCGCACCCGUCCGAGCGAGCGCAUCACUGUUGCGGGAGAAGCCUCAACCAAGCAUGGAUGCCCAAGACUGUCCCUGCGCCAGCGGUUGCUGCUCCUGUUGCCCAGUCGGCUGCUCCAAGUGCGCCCAAGGGUGCGUCUGCAAGGGACCCCCCUCCACCAAAUGCAGCUGCUGCCAGUGAACCACCCCCUCUGCUCUCGGAGCAGGGACCUGUAUAUUUGCCUGCAACAGUGUAACUCUCGUGUCUUAUAUAUUUGUGUGUUUUCUAGCUUGUAGAAGUGCGACAAAAAAAGCUACUUUGAAAGUAAAUAAAGCUAUAUAUGUAUAUAUAAACA